UACAGAGGGUGCGAGCGUUGUUCGGAAUUAUUGGGCGUAAAGGGCGCGUAGGCGGCGCGGUAAGUCACCUGUGAAAUCUCCUGGCUCAACUGGGAGCUUGCAGGCGAAACUGCCGUGCUGGAGUGUGGGAGAGGUGCGUGGAAUUCCCGGUGUAGCGGUGAAAUGCGUAGAUAUCGGGAAGGAACACCUGUGGCGAAAGCGGCGCACUGGACCACAACUGACGCUGAGGCGCGAAAGCUAGGGAGCAAACAGG
RNAcentral lists this ribosomal RNA (253 nucleotides) under uncultured bacterium. RNAcentral describes it as "partial 16S ribosomal RNA". It matches the Rfam family "Bacterial small subunit ribosomal RNA", at positions 524 to 776 of the family's 1533-position model. The record is from RNAcentral.